Molecule: transfer RNA, 76 nt
Filed under: Chloroflexota bacterium
Lineage: Bacteria; Bacillati; Chloroflexota
Also listed under: 2 other names
Description: tRNA-Phe
Rfam family: tRNA
About the family: Transfer RNA (tRNA) molecules are approximately 80 nucleotides in length. Their secondary structure includes four short double-helical elements and three loops (D, anti-codon, and T loops). Further hydrogen bonds mediate the characteristic L-shaped molecular structure. tRNAs have two regions of fundamental functional importance: the anti-codon, which is responsible for specific mRNA codon recognition, and the 3' end, to which the tRNAs corresponding amino acid is attached (by aminoacyl-tRNA synthetases). tRNAs cope with the degeneracy of the genetic code in two manners: having more than one tRNA (with a specific anti-codon) for a particular amino acid; and 'wobble' base-pairing, i.e. permitting non-standard base-pairing at the 3rd anti-codon position.
Source: RNAcentral
GCCAAGGUAGCUCAGUCGGUAGAGCACAGCACUGAAAAUGCUGGCGUCGGCGGUUCGAUUCCGCCCCUUGGCACCA